CAGUGGCUCAGUUGGUUAGAGCGCCGGCCUGUCACGCCGGAGGUCGAGGGUUCGAGUCCCUUCUG
RNAcentral lists this transfer RNA (65 nucleotides) under marine eukaryotic metagenome. It matches the Rfam family "tRNA", at positions 5 to 66 of the family's 71-position model. From Rfam's summary of the family: Transfer RNA (tRNA) molecules are approximately 80 nucleotides in length. Their secondary structure includes four short double-helical elements and three loops (D, anti-codon, and T loops). The record is from RNAcentral.